Molecule: ribosomal RNA, 494 nt
Filed under: uncultured bacterium
Lineage: Bacteria
Description: bacterial SSU rRNA
Rfam family: Bacterial small subunit ribosomal RNA
Source: RNAcentral
AGAAUUUGAUCUUGGUUCAGGACGAACGCUGGCGGCGUGCUUAACACAUGCAAGUCGAGCGAUGAAGCUUCUUCGGGAGUGGAUUAGCGGCGGACGGGUGAGUAACACGUGGGUAACCUGCCUCAUAGAGGGGAAUAGCCUUUCGAAAGGAAGAUUAAUACCGCAUAAGAUUGUAGUACCGCAUGGUACAGCAAUUAAAGGAGUAAUCCGCUAUGAGAUGGACCCGCGUCGCAUUAGCUAGUUGGUGAGGUAACGGCUCACCAAGGCGACGAUGCGUAGCCGACCUGAGAGGGUGAUCGGCCACAUUGGGACUGAGACACGGCCCAGACUCCUACGGGAGGCAGCAGUGGGGAAUAUUGCACAAUGGGGGAAACCCUGAUUGCAGCAACGCCGCGUGAGUGAUGACGGCCUUCGGGUUGUAAAACUCUGUCUUUGGGGACGAUAAUGACGGUACCCAAGGAGGGAGCCACGGCUAACUACGUGCCAGCCGCAGC